AUUGAACGCUGGCGGCAUGCUUUACACAUGCAAGUCGAACGGUAACAGGCCGCAAGGUGCUGACGAGUGGCGAACGGGUGAGUAAUGCAUCGGAACGUGCCCAGUCGUGGGGGAUAACUACUCGAAAGAGUAGCUAAUACCGCAUACGAUCUAUGGAUGAAAGCGGGGGACCGUAAGGCCUCGCGCGAUUGGAGCGGCCGAUGUCAGAUUAGGUAGUUGGUGGGGUAAAGGCUCACCAAGCCAACGAUCUGUAGCUGGUCUGAGAGGACGACCAGCCACACUGGGACUGAGACACGGCCCAGACUCCUACGGGAGGCAGCAGUGGGGAAUUUUGGACAAUGGGCGCAAGCCUGAUCCAGCAAUGCCGCGUGCAGGAAGAAGGCCUUCGGGUUGUAAACUGCUUUUGUACGGAACGAAAUGGCUCUGGUUAAUACCCGGGGCUAAUGACGGUACCGUAAGAAUAAGCACCGGCUAACUACGUG
This 482-nucleotide ribosomal RNA is filed under the name uncultured bacterium. RNAcentral describes it as "partial 16S ribosomal RNA". It matches the Rfam family "Bacterial small subunit ribosomal RNA", at positions 30 to 507 of the family's 1533-position model. The record is from RNAcentral.